RNAcentral lists this unclassified non-coding RNA (332 nucleotides) under soil metagenome. Its description in RNAcentral is "partial contains 5.8S ribosomal RNA, internal transcribed spacer 2, and large subunit ribosomal RNA". The stretch from base 1 to 120 matches the Rfam family "5.8S ribosomal RNA", at positions 35 to 154 of the family's 154-position model. The record is from RNAcentral.
GAUGAAGAACGCAGCGAAAUGCGAUAAGUAGUGUGAAUUGCAGAAUUCAGUGAAUCAUCGAAUCUUUGAACGCACAUUGCGCCCUUUGGUAUUCCUUAGGGCAUGCCUGUUCGAGCGUCAUUUAAACCUUCAAGCUAAGCUUGGUGUUGGGUGACUGUCCGCUUCACGGCGGACUCGCCUCAAAAUUAUUGGCGGCCGGUACAUUGGCUUCGAGCGCAGCAGAAACGCGAACUCGGGCCCGUCGUAUUGGCUCCCAGAAGCUAUCUUCACAAUUUUGACCUCGGAUCAGGUAGGGAUUCCCGCUGAACUUAAGCAUAUCAAUAAGCGGAGGA